UACGUAGGGCGCAAGCGUUGUCCGGAAUUACUGGGCGUAAAGAGCUCGUAGGUGGUUUGUCGCGUUGUUCGUGAAAACUCACAGCUCAACUGUGGGCGUGCGGGCGAUACGGGCAGACUGGAGUACUGCAGGGGAGACUGGAAUUCCUGGUGUAGCGGUGGAAUGCGCAGAUAUCAGGCGGAACACCGGUGGCGAAGGCGGGUCUCUGGGCAGUAACUGACGCUGAGGAGCGAAAGCGUGGGGAGCGAACAGG
This 253-nucleotide ribosomal RNA is filed under the name uncultured bacterium. Its description in RNAcentral is "partial 16S ribosomal RNA". It matches the Rfam family "Bacterial small subunit ribosomal RNA", at positions 524 to 776 of the family's 1533-position model. The record is from RNAcentral.